This 69-nucleotide transfer RNA is filed under the name Dirshacris aridus. RNAcentral describes it as "tRNA-Arg". The record is from RNAcentral. Lineage: Eukaryota; Metazoa; Arthropoda; Insecta; Orthoptera; Acrididae.
GAAUAAGAAGCGAAUUAUUGCAUUCAGUUUCGACCUGAAAAUAUGGUAUUAAGAUUUUACCCUUAUUCU